AUUAUGCUCAUUCUUUUUUUUUUUAACCAGUAAGGAUCUGGAUAAAGAAAAACAUUUUAGAAAACCACUUGUAGAGUACCAUGAACCAGUCUCUCUUCUCCAUUUUAAAAAAUUUAUUGACUCACUUUUUUUCCAUAACUUUUUGAGAUAUUAUUUCAACCACUUUGCAUUUAGAGAAAAAGAGUCAGAGAGUGAUUAAGAAAUCUGCCCAAUGCUAUACUGAUAGAAGCUGGGAGAACUGGGAUUUGAGCUUACAUAGGCUAGUUCUAGCAUUUGUGAAGUUCUCGCCUAAUAAAAAUUAUCUGUAAUCAUAACCAGAGCAAGUCAUUUCUAACCUCCUGUCUAUAGACACGCGGAUACAUUUGUAAUGUUUUUGUUUGUUUGUUUUUAGCACGACAGAUCAAUUCCUGCUGGCAUUAUAGUUCUUUAACUAUCAUAGCUUCUCUGAUUUUUCAACACAUCUGUCAUCCGUAUUCUGCAGGCAUAGCCAACUCUGUCAGUGUCUCCUCAGGCAAUCAGAAUCAACAGACAGAAUGUAGGACAGAAAACUGGCUGCAAACAUGUUGGAAGGGCUGGAGGAGCGAAAGAGGGAAGAUCUGUUACCUAGAGAUAGUAACUUCCAGAAGUUACCACUAUACUAGUGCAGGAGAAGCAGAAAGGAAGAUGCUGCUACCCAGAGCCCACAGUCAUUGUGCCCCUGAUGCCGCUGGAACCCCACUGCAGCUGCUUUACAGGAAGCAGGGAAUUAGCGCUCUUGCUGAUGCUACAGGUAUCCAGGAUCCAAAAGUCAUCAGCCGCUGUCCCUGUUGCAGCCUAGGGAAACUGUCCCACUGAGGUUGUUGGGGUACCUGCUACUGCAUCUACUGUCUGAACCAUGUUGCCUGAGCAGAUGUCCAGGGCUCAGGCUUGCCUGCUGCUGUUACUGCUGCCACCAUGUUUAUCAGAGCUACUUCAAGAAGAGAAGAAAUCCUCCUCAUUUCCAGUUUUUUCCAGUGCCUCCCAUUGCUUCCCAGAAUGCCAAAUUCUCUUUGAGAGACAGCUGAAAGGAAGGUUUGGAAAAGACUCUGGUGUAAGCAGAUUCUGCUUCCCUGCAAUAGGGGGAAAGCAUAGGGUGGAACUGGAGCUGAGAGCUAAUCACGAAUGAGCAAAUCAGUCUUCAAGACAUUUACCUUUCCUUGAAACGUUUCCCUUCUUUUACCGUGUUUUCCAUGUCAUUAUUUUUCCACAAUUCUGCAUCAUAUUCUGUUAACUAUUAAUGCCCUGGAUAAGUUUAUUUGCUCUUUCUUAGGGUUAAUUUUUCUCCUUUUCUUCGAAGCUUUAGUUUGCAGGUUCAGCUUGUGUGGGAAUUUUCAUCUCCCUCCUCUUCAAGACUCCUUGGAUAUCAGUUUUUUGGUUGCCUUCACCAACUCUCCCCCCACCAUCUCUAGACCAGGGCAUGGUCUUAGUUGGUGGCUUGGACUCCUGUGGCUUGGAGUCUUUGGGGAUAUUAGAGAUCCAGUCACUGAGCUGGCAAAGGGAACACUGUCCUUGCUUCCAGCUUUAUGAAGAACGCUUUGCUCUGUCACCCCACGUGAGUCCAACUCUUGGCUGCCUACACUGCCUGAGGCUUCAGUUCUGGCAUCGUGCUGCAUGUGAUCUAUUAUCCUGCUUUUGAAUAUGCCUAUGACUUUUCUUUAUAUAUUUUUAAAAAUGUUAUUAUUGGUAUGUUUACAGUGAAGGGAAGAAUGUGAAGCAUGAACUCAAGAGUCACAGUAAUGAUAAAUUUUAAUGAUUGUAAUUGUCCUAUCUGUCAUAAUACAUUUAUUUUGUUGAUUUGUUUGGAUUUUCUAGGUAAAUAAUCAUGUUAUUCAAGGAUAAUGAAUGCAGCCACCAUGUAAUCAUCACUGACUCCAUGGCCAUGAGAAAAGAGACCUAAGAAAUGAUGCCCAUCCAGAAGAGUGAAGACUUCCUGAAAAUGUUCUUUUAACCUAAGAUGUAGGUUAAGAGGAGUGAAAAAAUGUUCUGUUUCUGACUGAUGAUGGAGCAACAAAGAUCCUAAGAGCGAUCCCGCAAUUCAUUCAUCUUGAAUAGACUCAUAGAGCUUCAAGAGUGGGCUUCUGAAGCCCACUCCAACUCCAUUCUUGUUCCUUGGUCCCUCUGGAGCUGGUCUGGCCCCUAAGGAUGUAAAGGGGAGAAAAUAGCAUAGAACCACU
This 2192-nucleotide long non-coding RNA is filed under the name Homo sapiens (human). RNAcentral's name for it is "HSALNT0293518". Lineage: Eukaryota; Metazoa; Chordata; Mammalia; Primates; Hominidae. The record is from RNAcentral.